RNAcentral lists this transfer RNA (76 nucleotides) under Enterococcus faecalis. Its description in RNAcentral is "tRNA-Thr". It matches the Rfam family "tRNA". From Rfam's summary of the family: Transfer RNA (tRNA) molecules are approximately 80 nucleotides in length. Their secondary structure includes four short double-helical elements and three loops (D, anti-codon, and T loops). The record is from RNAcentral. Lineage: Bacteria; Bacillati; Bacillota; Bacilli; Lactobacillales; Enterococcaceae.
GCCGGUUUAGCUCAGUUGGUAGAGCAGCUGAUUUGUAAUCAGAUGGUCGCGGGUUCGAGUCCUGCAAUCGGCACCA